This 1191-nucleotide ribosomal RNA is filed under the name uncultured Sebacina. RNAcentral describes it as "eukaryotic LSU rRNA". The stretch from base 589 to 1191 matches the Rfam family "Eukaryotic large subunit ribosomal RNA", at positions 1 to 606 of the family's 3401-position model. Lineage: Eukaryota; Fungi; Basidiomycota; Agaricomycetes; Sebacinales; Sebacinaceae. The record is from RNAcentral.
GUAGGUGAACCUGCGGAAGGAUCAUUAAUGAAACUUCAAAGUCGGCUCGUCUGUCUGUGCUGGUGGAGACACAUGUGCACGUCGGCGAGUCGCAAAUCCACACACACCUGUGCAUCUAUGACUCUGAGUACCGCUUUGCAUGGCCCUCAGGGGCCUGGUACUCGAGUACUUUACACACUCUGAAUGUAAUGGAAUGUCUUUUUGUACAAUGUACAACUAAAAACAACUUUCAACAACGGAUCUCUUGGCUCUCGCAUCGAUGAAGAACGCAGCGAAAUGCGAUAAGUAAUGUGAAUUGCAGAAUUCAGUGAAUCAUCGAAUCUUUGAACGCACCUUGCACCCUUUGGUAUUCCGAAGGGUACACCCGUUUGAGUGUCAUUGUAAUCUCACUACAACCACUUUAUUGUUGUUUGUAUGUGGACUUGGAUGUUGCCGUGUAACAAACGGCUCGUCUGAAAUGCCUGAGUGUACCCUGCUUUUGCGGCGUAUUCGGUGUGAUAAAUCUUCACCGGAGUUGACUUUCGGGUCGCGCUUGUAUCGUCGGGCUCUAUGCUUCCAACCGUCCUCACAAGACAAUCUCUGACAAUUUGACCUCAAAUCGGGUGGGACUACCCGCUGAACUUAAGCAUAUCAAUAAGCGGAGGAAAAGAAACUAACAAGGAUUCCCCUAGUAACGGCGAGUGAAGAGGGAAAAGCUCAAAUUUUGAAUCUGGUGUCUUUGACUCCCGAGUUGUAAUCUAGAGAAGUGUUUUCCGCGUUGGACCGUGUACAAGUUCCCUGGAACGGGGCGUCAUAGAGGGUGAGAAUCCCGUAUAUGCCACGGACUACCAAUGCUCUGUGAUACACUCUCAACGAGUCGAGUUGUUUGGGAAUGCAGCUCAAAAUGGGUGGUAAAUUCCAUCUAAAGCUAAAUAUUGGCGAGAGACCGAUAGCGAACAAGUACCGUGAGGGAAAGAUGAAAAGCACUUUGGAAAGAGAGUGAAACAGUACGUGAAAUUGUUGAAAGGGAAGCGUUUGAAGUCAGUCACGUCUGUCGGAAUUCAGCCUGGCUUCUGCCUGGUGUACUUUCCGUCCGACGGGUCAGCAUCAAUUUCGACCGAGGGAAAAAGACGUGAGGAAUGUGGCUGUCUUCGGGCAGUGUUAUAGCCUCGGGUUGUAUGUCUCGGUUGGGAUUGAGGAACGCAGCGCGCC